This 486-nucleotide ribosomal RNA is filed under the name uncultured bacterium. RNAcentral's name for it is "partial 16S ribosomal RNA". It matches the Rfam family "Bacterial small subunit ribosomal RNA", at positions 30 to 507 of the family's 1533-position model. The record is from RNAcentral.
AUUGAACGCUGGCGGCAUGCCUUACACAUGCAAGUCGAACGGCAGCACGGGUGCUUGCCCCUGGUGGCGAGUGGCGAACGGGUGAGUAAUACAUCGGAACAUGUCCUGUAGUGGGGGAUAGCCCGGCGAAAGCCGGAUUAAUACCGCAUACGAUCUACGGAUGAAAGCGGGGGCCCUUCGGGCCUCGCGCUAUAGGGUUGGCCGAUGGCGGAUUAGCUAGUUGGUGGGGUAAAGGCCUACCAAGGCGACGAUCAGUAGCUGGUCUGAGAGGACGACCAGCCACACUGGGACUGAGACACGGCCCAGACUCCUACGGGAGGCAGCAGUGGGGAAUUUUGGACAAUGGGCGAAAGCCUGAUCCAGCAAUGCCGCGUGUGUGAAGAAGGCCUUCGGGUUGUAAAGCACUUUUGUCCGGAAAGAAAUCCUUGGCCCUAAUACGGUCGGGGGAUGACGGUACCGGAAGAAUAAGCACCGGCUAACUACGUG